This 1227-nucleotide long non-coding RNA is filed under the name Anser cygnoides (Swan goose). RNAcentral's name for it is "lncRNA (ENSACDG00005015664.1)". The record is from RNAcentral. Lineage: Eukaryota; Metazoa; Chordata; Aves; Anseriformes; Anatidae.
AAUUUGGAUUAUACUGUUACCUCCCAAGGGAAGACCUGAACUUGUGAGAGAUCUGCCAUCUUUCUAAGCAUAGGUGAUUUCAUACAAUUUUAAAGCAACAGCUCAGUAAGAUUUUUCAACCAUUACAGUAGCAUUUGGCACUAAAUAAAAAGCUCUAACAUGAGCUACUCCUUUCAGUCUGUAAUUGGAAAAGUUGCUAUCAAGUUUUCCUGUACCAUCCUCUUACUUUUGCCAAAUACCAUAUCUGUUCAUGUUGGUCAUUUAAUUACUUUGGGCAUACUACUCUGUAUCAAUUGAACAAAUGAAUAAACUCUGGAAUAUAUCCCCAACCUCAUAUGAUGUGGAUGCCGUAGAAAUUGUUGCUAUUAUUAUUAUUUUCUAUUUUAAUUUGUAAUAUUUGCAAUUAUUUUGUGAGUUCAAUUAAAAAUUAGUGUUCAUCUACAUUAGUAGUUGUCAGUAUCAUUUAAAUUCCAAGUCUAUAAUGACGUAGUGUUUCACAGUCAUUGAAUGCCAAGAUGAGCAAGACUAGGGAACAAAAGAGAAUGAAAAGAAAGCAUCUGUGAGUAGAUAUUGGGGCUGUCUGGAUGAAAAACUUCACAUCUUCUCUAAAAAUAAAGAAAUAAAUAAAACCAGUUGGAAUUUAAAUGAGACCCUAGAAGAAUUUCUUGAAUUCCAGUGUUACUUCAGAGAUUCUCCCCUACUCCUCCUUCUCUAUUGGUGACUGCCUCCAUACAGUUUUAAAUCUCACUUGUUUCAGCAGUUGUUUCAACACAGAGUGACUUAUUUUCUCUUGUUGGUAAGAUACAUUCAUAGUUAAUCUUGUACCCACUAUUAUAAUCUGAUUAAUUGUCAGAUAUAUUUUCCUGUAACCUGACAUUAAGGUUGUCUUUUGUAGAAUUGUGGUGGAUUGCUAAGAAGGAAACACCGUCAACUCCCAAAAAUAUUCCAGUACAUCUAUGAAAAUGAUUCAGGACACACAAACCAUUUGGCCUGAAAACAUGGACCACAAAAUAUUCCAUUCAUCCUUUAGAUGGUAUAACAAUAUAGCCAGGACUGGAUUUAUUUCCCAGUUAAAACUUUCACAGAGAACUACAGUUUAGCUUGAUUAAAACAAAUUGUGACAUGUUGGUUGGAAAUACUUCUCACCUCCUUAAACAAAUGUUGAAAGGUUUUUCUUUUGACAUUGAAAAGAAAUAUUUCUAUUUUAAAUUCAUAAUGGUGUUUUAC